GUCGAUAGGGUGUCUGAGGGCAUAACAAUUUUUCGUGUUGUAGGUAGUACUUUGUGUACUUUUCGAUA
Molecule: transfer RNA, 68 nt
Filed under: Diplodiscus mehrai
Lineage: Eukaryota; Metazoa; Platyhelminthes; Trematoda; Plagiorchiida; Diplodiscidae
Description: tRNA-Glu
Source: RNAcentral